UUAAAUUGAAGAGUUUGAUCAUGGCUCAGAUUGAACGCUGGCGGAAGGCCUAACACAUGCAAGUCGUACGGUAACAGGAAGAAGCUUGUUUCUUUGCUGACGAGUGGCGGA
This 111-nucleotide ribosomal RNA is filed under the name Acinetobacter baumannii. RNAcentral's name for it is "partial 16S ribosomal RNA". It matches the Rfam family "Bacterial small subunit ribosomal RNA", at positions 1 to 102 of the family's 1533-position model. The record is from RNAcentral. Lineage: Bacteria; Pseudomonadati; Pseudomonadota; Gammaproteobacteria; Moraxellales; Moraxellaceae.